GAAAAGAACUUUGAAAAGAGAGUUAAACAGUACGUGAAAUUGUUGAAAGGGAAACGAUUAAAGUCAGUCGUACCAGCGGGAAAUCAACCUUUCGAGUGGUAUUUUGGAGUUUUGAAGAGUGUUAAAAACCUUUGAGAUUUCAAAAUUUUCGCUUUUUUGGUGUACUUUCUCGUAGGUAGGUUAACAUCGAUUUUUGAUCAUCAUAAAAGGACCGGAGGAAUGUAGCUUCGAUCUCGUAUUGAAGUGUUAUAGCCAGGAAUUAUGCGGGGGGCUGGACUGAGGACCGCAGUGCUUAUUUGGAUUGCUUGGUCUCUGGACGGUCUAGCAGGUGUUUCAGCACGCUGAACUAUUUGCUAGCUCGGUCACAGGCUGAGUUCAUCACACCAGCACUUAGGAUGUU
RNAcentral lists this ribosomal RNA (400 nucleotides) under uncultured Glomeromycotina. Its description in RNAcentral is "eukaryotic LSU rRNA". The record is from RNAcentral. Lineage: Eukaryota; Fungi; Glomeromycota.